AGGCUGGUCUCGAACUCCUGACCUCAAGCAGUUCUCCCACCUUGGCCUCCCAAAGUGCUGAGACUACAGGCAUGAGCCACUGUGCCUAUUUUGUAAGCAAUGAUAAUUUAAUGUGCCAGAUGAGGGAAGAGGCACAAUGGGAGUUGGUUAAGGGGUGGCAGAUAGGAGAGUCCCUCCCAGAGAAGGGGUUUCUGAGCCUCUGAACCCUCACACAGGAUAGACAGGCAUUUCCAGGAGGAGAGAGGGAAUGAAGGGCAUUUCAGCAAGAGGAAACUGCAUGCGCAUACACCCAGAGAGACAGACCCUUGAGGGUCAGAGGAUAUAUCCUCAGGGCCUGGAUGAGCUAUAUUCUUUGGUCAAGUCUGAGGAUCUGCAAUGGACGGUGUCAGUGAGAAGGUAGUGGAGUGACAGAGGGCUGGGCCCUCGGCAGAUUCGUCUCCUAGCAGGAAGUGGUGCUAGGUGAGCCAGAUGCACUUAGCCUGCACAUGAUGCAUAAGCCAGUGCCAAUUUGGGCCCCAUGUGUAGGGCCUUCCAGCCCCUCAGAGACUGCCCAGGCCAUUUCUGCUCCCUCCCUGGACCCCUAGAAGGCCAACCCAGGAUUCAUCUACGGGCAGGUGGGGACCCUGGGCUCUGGGCCUAUCCAGUGAGGAUGGCCUAAAAUGCAGACCCUGGGUCCUAGGCAGGGGUCCUGUGCAGAGUGGCUGAUGGACCAGACUAGCAGCACGCUUCCAGCAGGGCGAGGCUCUCAGAGAUGGGGCAGCAGCUGGAUAGGGUCUGGAUGAAGCCAUAUUACAUGAACGUCCGGAUGGCCAGGGGGUUUGAGGGCUCGACGCCCAGUGCUCCCAGGGCCUCUGGUACGCUCCACCUCCAGUCCCAUCCCCAGCCUCAAGCUCCUCCACCUGACCCUCUCUGGGUCUCUACCUCAGUCUGUCUUCAAUCCCAGGAUUCAGUAGUCUGCACUGUCCCCAGAUUAGUGGCUAAGAUUGUGGGUUUAAAUCUUGGCUCCACAAUAUACUAGCUGUGUGACCUUGGGCAGUUACUCUGCCUCUCUGGGCCUUAUCUGUAAAAGUGAAAAUAACAGUUAUCUUCCCUGAAUGGGUGCCUAAGAGGGUGACAUUUGACAAGCAUGUGAAAACACAUGGUAUUCAGUCAUGAAGCAUUAGCCACUGAUUGCACACUUCCUGGUGCUGCGGUGUGGCCGCUUUGAGGAGAAAGUUCUGCUCAAAAUCAGGGUCCCUUUUGGGGCCAGAGAGCUGCCACAUGGGGCUGGAUCCCACUUACCCUGUGUGAGUUUGCUAGGGCUGUGGUAAUAAAGUGCUGAAGAUGCUAGCUUCAACGGCAGGCAUUCAUCGUCUCUUGGUUCUGGAGACUGAAGUUCACGUCAGAGUGUCGGCAGGGUUGGUUCCUCCUGAGGGCUGUGAGGGAGGGUCUGUUGUAGGCCUUGCCCCCAGCUUCUGGUGCUUUGCCAGCAGUCUUUGACAUUCCUCCUGGGCAAGGGAUGUCUGUGUGGCAUCUCCCUGUGUGUGUGCCUGUGUCCACAUUUCCCCUUGGUAUAGGACACUGGUCACCUUGGAUGAAAGCCCAGCCUAUUGACUUCAUUUUAGUCUGAUUACCUCUGUAACGAUUCUGUCUCAUUAGGAGGUACUGGGGACGUCAGUAUAUUUUUUUGUUGUUGCAGGGGAUGCAGUUCAACCCAGAACGCCUCCAAUUUGCUUCCUGCUACCUUCCUGGCUGGGUGGUUUGGUUUGGGUGUGACUUGGGACCUCAGGCUCCCAGCUGCUCCCUCUUGCUUUUCCCAUCAUGUAACCACAGGACCCUCACGCAGCUGCAGAGAGGCCAGACUGUGUGCUGAAGGAGCUGCCGUGAGUCUGGGUGGGCACCACCCAGUGAGCCCCCAGGCCCCUAGUCCACAAGCCAGCCAGGGAGGGCAGGCCAGGGCCCAGGAGGAGAUCCGCUCCCCUCUGCAGGCUGGACCUGCCCAAACCCAAGAACCAGGGUGAGGGUUUCUGCAGGCAUGAGAGGAUGGGGUAGCAGGGCCCCUAGAUGGGAAUGCAGCCUGCCCCUCCCUGGCCAGCCACAGGAGCAGGAUGCAGGCUCUGGAGAGGGAGAACGACCAGAUGGCUGCUGGGAUCCAGAGGCGAAAGGUAGGCAGGAGCUGGCUGCUUGGGGUGGUGCGAGGUGGUCCCACCUACUGUCAGGGCCCCCAAAGAACCCCUCCUGAGGACCCUAGAGCCCUCCCCAAGCCUGAAGUCAGGGACUUGUGCAAUAAAGUGGAGGCUCGGGCUGUACCACAGCCACAGCUCUUCUCAUGGGG
Non-coding RNA from Macaca mulatta (Rhesus monkey), 2314 nucleotides. NCBI's taxonomy places the organism in Eukaryota, Metazoa, Chordata, Mammalia, Primates, Cercopithecidae. The record is from RefSeq and is a predicted model, not a curated record.